Salmo salar (Atlantic salmon) is the source of this 1094-nucleotide long non-coding RNA. RefSeq lists it as uncharacterized. The record is from RefSeq and is a predicted model, not a curated record. Lineage: Eukaryota; Metazoa; Chordata; Actinopteri; Salmoniformes; Salmonidae.
AACCUUAUUGAAGAAGAAACAAACGGGAGUUGUCUUGGGGGUGUGGUUUGAUCAAUGUGUUUGAUGUGGGUGUUAUGUUCACUAUUAGGUGAUUGGCAGUAGGAAGCUGUCUGCUUAAGUUUUCGAGAUGAUCGAUCUCUGUGGAGGGAGGAGCUGGUUUUUACAUAUUGUGUAUAUUUAUUUAUUCUGAAAAUAUUUCAGUUUGUUGGCAAUGUCAAUUCUUGCAAAUGUUAUGUUCGCUAGAUGGACAGGCAAAUGCCGCCGACUACUAAAAUGUAAACCUAUCAAAACGUGUGUACUAUCCAUGGUACUAUCUCUGCUGAUCACGUUAUCCGUAUCUAAGGUAGUAGACUGGUGAUCUCCGUUCAUCAAACUGCUAUCAGCUUUCCUGUGUCCUGCUCCCAGAUAUCAUCCAAGUGCUAUUCACCAAGCAUGGGCUGACUCGUUCACCUGUGAGAACCAUCCGACUGCAGUUUGAACUAACCCUGCUGUCACUAUUUAGACAUUGGGACCACAUAUUGUCUUAGUCUAGUGCAUUUUAGAAUUGAAGAACACCCAUUGCAGAUACAUGUGCUUGGUUGAGCAUAUUUAUUCAUUGUCUCUCACUUUUGUCUCCUAUGAUCUAUUCACCAAGUCCUGCAGUUUGAACUAGCCCUGUCGUCAUGAUUUAGACAUUGCAUUUGCCUGUUUUCUUUUCUUUGUGGGUUGUUUUACAGUGUUAGGGUGGCAGGUAGCGGUUAAGAGCAUUGGGCCAGUAAUCGAAAGGUUGCUGGUUUGAAUCCCUGAGCUGACUAGGUGAUAAAUCUGUAAUGUAAAUGUCUCUCUACAUUGCUGACCAGGGUGGGAUACUUUUGAUAUGCCUAUGGGGUCUGCGCACACAAAUGCUCCUGGAGAGAAGGAGGAAUACUGAAGCAUGCAUUGAUAUGUCUCCUUCAGAGGCUCAGGCUUUUGGCAUAGAUGGUAACGCUCUCAUUACUGGACUGUAAGAUUGUGCCCACUUGAAAAAUAUUGAUUGGUACUGUAGGUUAUACUAUAUUUAGAUACUUGAAAUACCUUUGCUAUUGUCUCCUUACUCAAUAAAUGGUGAAACACUA